Molecule: ribosomal RNA, 216 nt
Filed under: Campeiostachys nutans
Lineage: Eukaryota; Viridiplantae; Streptophyta; Magnoliopsida; Poales; Poaceae
Description: Elymus nutans partial small subunit ribosomal RNA
Rfam family: Eukaryotic small subunit ribosomal RNA (bases 40-216)
Source: RNAcentral
GGGUUAGUAGGUUGGUCAUGCCUCUGGUAUGUACUGGUCUCACUGAUUCCUCCUUCCUGAUGAACCUUAAUGCCAUUAAUUUGGUGUUUUGGGGAAUUUGGACUGUUACUUUGAGAAAAUUAGAGUGUUUAAAGCAGGCCUAUGCCUGAAUACGUUAGCAUGGAAUAAUGAAAUAGGACGUUUAAUUCUAUUUUGUUGGUUUCUAGGAUUGACGUA